GAUGAACGCUGGCGGCGUGCCUAAUACAUGCAAGUCGAGCGAACAGAUGAGGAGCUUGCUCCUCUGACGUUAGCGGCGGACGGGUGAGUAACACGUGGAUAACCUACCUAUAAGACUGGGAUAACUUCGGGAAACCGGAGCUAAUACCGGAUAAUAUAUUGAACCGCAUGGUUCAAUAGUGAAAGACGGUUUUGCUGUCACUUAUAGAUGGAUCCGCGCCGCAUUAGCUAGUUGGUAAGGUAACGGCUUACCAAGGCAACGAUGCGUAGCCGACCUGAGAGGGGGAUAGGCCACACUGGAACUGAGACACGGUCCAGACUCCUACGGGAGGCAGAAGUAGGGAAUCUUCCGCAAUGGGCGAAAGCCUGACGGAGCAACGCCGCGUGAGUGAUGAAGGUCUUCGGAUCGUAAAACUCUGUUAUUAGGGAAGAACAAAUGUGUAAGUAACUAUGCACGUCUUGACGGUACCUAAUCAGAAAGCCACGGCUAACUACGUG
Molecule: ribosomal RNA, 497 nt
Filed under: uncultured bacterium
Lineage: Bacteria
Description: partial 16S ribosomal RNA
Rfam family: Bacterial small subunit ribosomal RNA
Source: RNAcentral